GAUGAACGCUGGCGGCGUGCCUAAUACAUGCAAGUCGAGCGAGCGGACGAGAAGCUUGCUUCUCUGAUGUUAGCGGCGGACGGGUGAGUAACACGUGGAUAACCUACCUAUAAGACUGGGAUAACUUCGGGAAACCGGAGCUAAUACCGGAUAAUGUUUUGAACCGCAUGGUUCAAAAGUGAAAGACGGUCUUGCUGUCACUUAUAGAUGGAUCCGCGCUGCAUUAGCUAGUUGGUAAGGUAACGGCUUACCAAGGCAACGAUGCAUAGCCGACCUGAGAGGGGGAUCGGCCACACGGGAACGGAGACACGGUCCAGACUCCUACGGGAGGCAGCAGUAGGGAAUCUUCCGCAAUGGGCGAAAGCCUGACGGAGCAACGCCGCGUGAGUGAUGAAGGUCUUCGGAUCGUAAAACUCUGUUAUUAGGGAAGAACAUAUGUGUAAGUAACUGUGCACAUCUUGACGGUACCUAAUCAGAAAGCCACGGCUAACUACGUG
This 497-nucleotide ribosomal RNA is filed under the name uncultured bacterium. Its description in RNAcentral is "partial 16S ribosomal RNA". It matches the Rfam family "Bacterial small subunit ribosomal RNA", at positions 28 to 507 of the family's 1533-position model. The record is from RNAcentral.